UAUUUGUUGAUAUAAGUCGUAAAACAUGAUGACCUCUGGCAUUUAUGAGAUUCGGUGUUGAAAACUGCAGACCAUGAUUAUCACCCACAGUUGCGCACAGUUUUCUGUACUGCUUUCGCUGGCAAACGCCAGUGCUCGCAUUUGAUUGGUCUAACGGCGUUUCUUUUGCGAAUCGAGAACACUCUGCAGUUUUAUUUUGGUUUCUGUGUAUUUUGUUGAUUUUUGUUGAUUAUUGUUGUUGGAUUUGGUGGUAUUAUGAUUAGGCAAGGUAUUAGGCAUUUUUCAGUCACACCAUUCCCGUGGUAUUAUGGUAAGCACUUUUGAUGUUUUAUUGUGAGAGGUUACCUGUGCCAGGCUGGGUGAUUUUGUUUCAAGUUUUUGAUCUAUGGUUUAGUUGAGAUUGAAAUCACCACAACCAGGGCAGAGUUUGUUGCAUGCUGCAUGCAUGUUCCUGUUCCUCAUACCCUUGUUCCGCAAGGCGUACAUUAUUUGUUUUAUUGAUUUGUCAUGCCUCAAUUACCAAUCCUACGAAGUAUGUAGUCUACUGCAAGUCUUUAUAAACCUAAUGCCCAGAUUCAUUUUGUGCAUCCGCUCUCUCUUUGUGCGCUUCCAUGGUGUUCUCCCUCUCGAUUUCAUCCUCUUUCUCCUCUGCGUAGGUAUCAACCCCCUGCUUCGGAUGGCCAUUGAGGUAGGUGCCUUUGGAGCUUGCAGCAAUGAGCGUUAGAAAUGAAUUACCAGAAAUAAAUGAUGCUGUGAAAAUUAAUCAACAAAAGCUGACAAGGAUUAGUUAUUAAAAUAUUAUAUCACUAAAAAGUUAUAUUUGUGUAGCGAUCUUGAAGUACAUGCCCUGCCCCUCUGGCCAAUCCUGGUCAAUCCUGCUCCGGGUUGUACAGACAACUAUCCUAUGUGGGAAGCCCGAAGCUCCCCCAGGAGUAUGGCCAUAAUAGCUGGGUGUGGUGAGUGUCACAGGACUGAUAGCCCUAUAAACACAGGUCGGGUGGGAGGGUAUUAGUAGAAUAAGCUUAGGAUGUUGGUUAAGCCCUUUCCUCAUCACCCGCCUCUGUCACCAGUUUUCUCCUCAGCCUCCAGAGCUGGUAGAGUCCAUCCUUGUUCUGCUCCAUCUCUUUUCUAUCAUCGUUGAAGAGGAAUGCUUUCAGUACCUCGUUGGGUUCUUCCACGUAUGGCCUCAGUAGAGCUAGGUUUCAUUGUCUUUCUUCUGUUAGCUUGGUACACUCUAGCAUAAAAUGGACUUCAUUUCCUUCCUCUUUUCCACAGAGCUUAAUUACCGUUAUCACCUCAUCCACCGUCUGCUCAAUGUGUGAGGAAUACGGAGACAAAGGCUGCUUGAUAAUUAAACAAGUUCUGCGUUUUCUCAGGAAGUCAGUACUUUGUUAGAUAGGUAUGUGAUGAGUUUAACGUAGACAAUUGCAGUCUUAUGUGUCGAUGAAACUAAAAGUCUUGGAAACAUGAUAAGCUUAGCAUAACAUUCUGCCAUUGCGUUCAUGUGUUUGGCUUUGUCGUUCCUAUUGUAGGUAUGCUUUGUGGAUUCUGAGUUCUGACCAUAUUAUCUUCCACCAGGUUCAUUGCUGGCAGUGGUUCAGGAGACAGUGGUUCGAUCCCAGCUGUAGAACGUCACCUGCAGGAAGUAGCAUUGUGAUGGCCAGUCACGUGGCGCGUGUAUCCAGCCACAUUGUCCAGAAACCAUCACAUCAUUUCCAGGUCACUGGUCGCUGGUGCUCGAGUUGACUGUGUCUUCAACGGCUCCACGGUGACCAGCGCCGCCACCGCCGAGACCAUCCGAUUCCUGAAAUGAUAAUGGCCGUACACGAACAAGAGGCUCUAUGCAUCCAGAUGCAAGUCAAGCGCCAUGCUCAGAGGCGUCAUCCGGAGAAGGCCGCACAGUGCACUUUAGGCUGAGCUCGGGUGUAGUGCGCGCUGACGGAUAGGAUGAAAUUACGGGCCGGCCAUCAGAUUUCAGUGCGGGGAUCAAGAUGGUCGGAGCCGACGUGGCUCGGUUGAUGGUGUGUCAGGGUUGAUUGAGAGUGGAGGCGAGACACCCGGAUCUGUGAAGGAUACGCCAAUACGGGUCUCGACGUCGUCUCGCAAUUUGUGCUAUGUAAUAUGACGGCUAUGCCGUGGUAUCAUUCACUCUCGAUGCGCUAAUAAAUAAUAAAUAGGACAGAGACUGGAA
This 2191-nucleotide long non-coding RNA is filed under the name Amphibalanus amphitrite. RNAcentral's name for it is "uncharacterized LOC122384714, transcript variant X1". The record is from RNAcentral. Lineage: Eukaryota; Metazoa; Arthropoda; Thecostraca; Balanomorpha; Balanidae.